RNAcentral lists this ribosomal RNA (444 nucleotides) under uncultured bacterium. RNAcentral's name for it is "partial 16S ribosomal RNA". It matches the Rfam family "Bacterial small subunit ribosomal RNA", at positions 338 to 795 of the family's 1533-position model. The record is from RNAcentral.
CCUACGGGUGACAGCAGUGGGGAAUAUUGGGCAAUGGAGGAAACUCUGACCCAGCAAUGCCGCGUGAAUGAAGAAGGUCUUCGGAUUGUAAAGGUCUUUAGUCAGGGAAGAAGUCAAUGACGGUACCUGAAGAAUAAGCUCCGACUAACUUCGUGGCAGCAGCCGCGGUAAUACGUAGGGAGCAAGCGUUGUGCGGAAUGACUGGGAGUAAAGGGUGCGUAGGCGGUUGUACAAGUUAGAAGUGAAAUACCCAGGGCUUAACUCGGGUGCUGCUUCUAAAACUGUAUGACUUGAGUGCAGUAGAGGUUAGUGGAAUUCCUAGUGUAGCGGUGGAAUGCGUAGAUAUUAGGAGGAACACCAGAGGCGAAGGCGGCUAACUGGACUGCAACUGACGCUGAGGCACGAAAGUGUGGGGAGCAAACAGGAUUAGAUACCCGGGUAGUC